UAGACCAAUGAUGAGAACUGGUGGCAUAGGAAUCCUAUGGGGUUGAGUGCUACACGUCUGUAAUUCUGAGUCCAC
Ailuropoda melanoleuca (giant panda) is the source of this 75-nucleotide small nucleolar RNA. The record is from Ensembl. Lineage: Eukaryota; Metazoa; Chordata; Mammalia; Carnivora; Ursidae.